AGAUGAGCUCAGUUGGUUAGAGUAUGGUGCUGAUAACACCAAGAUUGUGGGUUCAACUCACAAUCUA
RNAcentral lists this transfer RNA (67 nucleotides) under Ficedula albicollis (Collared flycatcher). It matches the Rfam family "tRNA". From Rfam's summary of the family: Transfer RNA (tRNA) molecules are approximately 80 nucleotides in length. Lineage: Eukaryota; Metazoa; Chordata; Aves; Passeriformes; Muscicapidae. The record is from Rfam by way of RNAcentral.